GGCUCCAUAGUGCAGCGGUCAGCACGUCUGCUUUGCACGCAGAAGGUCCUGGGUUUGUGCCCCAGUGGAGCCA
This 73-nucleotide transfer RNA is filed under the name Pteropus alecto (black flying fox). It matches the Rfam family "tRNA". Rfam says of the family: Transfer RNA (tRNA) molecules are approximately 80 nucleotides in length. Their secondary structure includes four short double-helical elements and three loops (D, anti-codon, and T loops). Lineage: Eukaryota; Metazoa; Chordata; Mammalia; Chiroptera; Pteropodidae. The record is from Rfam by way of RNAcentral.